This 305-nucleotide ribosomal RNA is filed under the name uncultured bacterium. Its description in RNAcentral is "bacterial SSU rRNA". It matches the Rfam family "Bacterial small subunit ribosomal RNA", at positions 334 to 655 of the family's 1533-position model. The record is from RNAcentral.
AAUCUCUACGGGACGCAGCAGUGGGGAAUAUUGGGCAAUGGGCGCAAGCCUGACCCAGCAACGCCGCGUGAAGGAAGAAGGCUUUCGGGUUGUAAACUUCUUUUAAGAGGGAAGAGCAGAAGACGGUACCUCUUGAAUAAGCCACGGCUAACUCCGUGCCAGCAGCCGCGGUAAUACGGAGGAUGCGAGCGUUAUCCGGAUUUAUUGGGUUUAAAGGGUGCGUAGGCGGAUUUUUAAGUCAGCGGUAAAAUGUCCGGGCUCAACCCGGGCCGGCCGUUGAAACUGGGGAUCUUGAGUGGGCGAGA